GUGGGGAAUAUUGGACAAUGGGCGAAAGCCUGAUCCAGCCAUGCCGCGUGUGUGAAGAAGGUCUUCGGAUUGUAAAGCACUUUAAGUUGGGAGGAAGGGCAGUAAGUUAAUACCUUGCUGUUUUGACGUUACCAACAGAAUAAGCACCGGCUAACUUCGUGCCAGCAGCCGCGGUAAUACGAAGGGUGCAAGCGUUAAUCGGAAUUACUGGGCGUAAAGCGCGCGAAGGUGGUUCAGCAAGUUGGAGGUGAAAUCAUCGGGCUCAACCUGGGAACUGCCUCCAAAACUACUGAGCUAGAGUACGGUAGAGGGUAGUGGAAUUUCCUGUGUAGCGGUGAAAUGCGUAGAUAUAGGAAGGAACACCAGUGGCGAAGGCGACUACCUGGACUGAUACUGACACUGAGGUGCGAAAGCGUGGGGAGCAAACAGGAUUAGAAACCCGGGUAGUCC
This 450-nucleotide ribosomal RNA is filed under the name uncultured bacterium. Its description in RNAcentral is "bacterial SSU rRNA". It matches the Rfam family "Bacterial small subunit ribosomal RNA", at positions 354 to 796 of the family's 1533-position model. The record is from RNAcentral.